Molecule: non-coding RNA, 57 nt
Filed under: Trypanosoma brucei brucei
Lineage: Eukaryota; Euglenozoa; Kinetoplastea; Trypanosomatida; Trypanosomatidae
Source: RNAcentral
AUGAUAGAACCAAAACACUAUGGCUUAUGUAGUGAGUAUAUAUAACUGUAUAAUGAU